CUCCCGACCUGGGGAUGUAGUGACGAAAAGUAACAAUACAGGACUCUUUUGAGGUCGUGUAAUUUGAAUAUUUCAGUCCACUUAAAAUCCA
Long non-coding RNA from Cebus imitator (Panamanian white-faced capuchin), 91 nucleotides. RefSeq lists it as uncharacterized. The record is from RefSeq and is a predicted model, not a curated record. The transcript is spliced from 3 exons. NCBI's taxonomy places the organism in Eukaryota, Metazoa, Chordata, Mammalia, Primates, Cebidae.